RNAcentral lists this ribosomal RNA (301 nucleotides) under uncultured bacterium. RNAcentral describes it as "partial 16S ribosomal RNA". It matches the Rfam family "Bacterial small subunit ribosomal RNA", at positions 509 to 807 of the family's 1533-position model. The record is from RNAcentral.
CAGUCGCCGCGGGAAUACGUAGGGUGCGAGCGUUAAUCGGAAUUACUGGGCGUAAAGCGUGCGCAGGCGGUUUUGUAAGACAGGCGUGAAAUCCCCGGGCUCAACCUGGGAAUGGCGCUUGUGACUGCAAAGCUAGAGUGCGGCAGAGGGGGAUGGAAUUCCGCGUGUAGCAGUGAAAUGCGUAGAUAUGCGGAGGAACACCGAGGGCGAAGGCAAUCCCCUGGGCCUGCACUGACGCUCAUGCACGAAAGCGUGGGGAGCAAACAGGAUUAGAUACCCCUGUAGUCCCUGUCUCUUAUAC